Molecule: long non-coding RNA, 209 nt
Filed under: Brachypodium distachyon (stiff brome)
Lineage: Eukaryota; Viridiplantae; Streptophyta; Magnoliopsida; Poales; Poaceae
Description: long non-coding RNA (BDIS_LNC002967)
Source: RNAcentral
AUUCGUUCUUGAUAGCCAUUUCCUUAACAAGUGAAUGGAAACAUACUCUGGAUCGGAAUCCCAAGAAAGUACUACUUGAUCAUUUCCACUAAUUUCAAGUCCUUAUUAUGAUUCCUUUUAUGGGAAAAAUCUCUAAUUCUUAGAUUUCCCCAUUACUAAUCCUUUAUGUACUUUAGUGUUCCUGACCUUUCACUAACUUUUGAUGGAUU